UACAGAGGGGGCAAGCGUUGUUCGGAAUUACUGGGCGUAAAGGGCGCGUAGGCGGCCUUCUAAGUCGAACGUGAAAUCCCCGGGCUCAACCCGGGAACUGCGUCCGAUACUGGAAGGCUUGAAUCCGGGAGAGGGAUGCGGAAUUCCAGGUGUAGCGGUGAAAUGCGUAGAUAUCGGAAGGAACACCUGUGGCGAAAGCGGCUCACUGGACCAUAACUGACGCUGAGGCGCGAAAGCUAGGGGAGCAAACAGG
RNAcentral lists this ribosomal RNA (253 nucleotides) under uncultured bacterium. RNAcentral's name for it is "partial 16S ribosomal RNA". It matches the Rfam family "Bacterial small subunit ribosomal RNA", at positions 524 to 776 of the family's 1533-position model. The record is from RNAcentral.